AUUGAACGCUGGCGGCAGGCUUAACACAUGCAAGUCGAGCGGGCGAGGUUGCUUCGGUAACUGAGCUAGCGGCGGACGGGUGAGUAAAGCUUAGGAAUCUGCCUAUUAGUGGGGGACAACAUUUCGAAAGGGAUGCUAAUACCGCAUACGUCCUACGGGAGAAAGCAGGGGAUCACUUGUGACCUUGCGCUAAUAGAUGAGCCUAAGUCGGAUUAGCUAGUUGGUGGGGUAAAGGCCUACCAAGGCGACGAUCUGUAGCGGGUCUGAGAGGAUGAUCCGCCACACUGGGACUGAGACACGGCCCAGACUCCUACGGGAGGCAGCAGUGGGGAAUAUUGGACAAUGGGGGGAACCCUGAUCCAGCCAUGCCGCGUGUGUGAAGAAGGCCUUUUGGUUGUAAAGCACUUUAAGUGGGGAGGAGGCUCUCUUGGUUAAUACCUAAGAAGAGUGGACGUUACCCACAGAAUAAGCACCGGCUAACUCUGUGCCAGCAGCCGCGGUAA
RNAcentral lists this ribosomal RNA (503 nucleotides) under uncultured bacterium. RNAcentral's name for it is "partial 16S ribosomal RNA". It matches the Rfam family "Bacterial small subunit ribosomal RNA", at positions 30 to 523 of the family's 1533-position model. The record is from RNAcentral.